GAUGAACGCUGGCGGCGUGCCUAAUACAUGCAAGUCGAGCGAACGGACGAGAAGCUUGCUUCUCUGAUGUUAGCGGCGGACGGGUGAGUAACACGUGGAUAACCUACCUAUAAGACUGGGAUAACUUCGGGAAACCGGAGCUAAUACCGGAUAAUAUUUUGAACCGCAUGGUUCAAAAGUGAAAGACGGUCUUGCUGUCACUUAUAGAUGGAUCCGCGCUGCAUUAGCUAGUUGGUAAGGUAACGGCUUACCAAGGCAACGAUGCAUAGCCGACCUGAGAGGGUGAUCGGCCACACUGGAACUGAGACACGGUCCAGACCCCUACGGGAGGCAGCAGUAGGGAAUCUUCCGCAAUGGGCGAAAGCCUGACGGAGCAACGCCGCGUGAGUGAUGAAGGUCUUCGGAUCGUAAAACUCUGUUAUUAGGGAAGAACAUAUGUGUAAGUAACUGUGCACAUCUUGACGGUACCUAAUCAGAAAGCCACGGCUAACUACGUGCCAGCAGCCGCGGUAAUACGUAGGUGGCAAGCGUUAUCCGGAAUUAUUGGGCGUAAAGCGCGCGUAGGCGGUUUUUUAAGUCUGAUGUGAAAGCCCACGGCUCAACCGUGGAGGGUCAUUGGAAACUGGAAAACUUGAGUGCAGAAGAGGAAAGUGGAAUUCCAUGUGUAGCGGUGAAAUGCGCAGAGAUAUGGAGGAACACCAGUGGCGAAGGCGACUUUCUGGUCUGUAACUGACGCUGAUGUGCGAAAGCGUGGGGAUCAAACAGGAUUAGAUACCCUGGUAGUCCACGCCGUAAACGAUGAGUGCUAAGUGUUAGGGGGUUUCCGCCCCUUAGUGCUGCAGCUAACGCAUUAAGCACUCCGCCUGGGGAGUACGACCGCAAGGUUGAAACUCAAAGGAAUUGACGGGGACCCGCACAAGCGGUGGAGCAUGUGGUUUAAUUCGAAGCAACGCGAAGAACCUUACCAAAUCUUGACAUCCUUUGACAACUCUAAAGAUAGAGCCUUCCCCUUCGGGGGACAAAGUGACAGGUGGUGCAUGGUUGUCGUCAGCUCGUGUCGUGAGAUGUUGGGUUAAGUCCCGCAACGAGCGCAACCCUUAAGCUUAGUUGCCAUCAUUAAGUUGGGCACUCUAAGUUGACUGCCGGUGACAAACCGGAGGAAGGUGGGGAUGACGUCAAAUCAUCAUGCCCCUUAUGAUUUGGGCUACACACGUGCUACAAUGGACAAUACAAAGGGCAGCGAAACCGCGAGGUCAAGCAAAUCCCAUAAAGUUGUUCUCAGUUCGGAUUGUAGUCUGCAACUCGACUACAUGAAGCUGGAAUCGCUAGUAAUCGUAGAUCAGCAUGCUACGGUGAAUACGUUCCCGGGUCU
Molecule: ribosomal RNA, 1372 nt
Filed under: uncultured bacterium
Lineage: Bacteria
Description: bacterial SSU rRNA
Rfam family: Bacterial small subunit ribosomal RNA
Source: RNAcentral